UAGUCCACGCCGUAAACGAUGGACACUAGUUGUUGGAAUUAUUCAGUGACUAAGCGAAAGUGAUAAGUGUCCCACCUGGGGAGUACGAUCGCAAGAUUGAAACUCAAAGGAAUUGACGGGGGCCCGCACAAGCGGUGGAGCAUGUGGUUUAAUUCGAUGAUACGCGUGGAACCUUACCUGGGCUUAAAUGCAGAACGACGUUUCGGGAAACUGAUACUCCCUUCGGGGCGUUCUACAAGGUGCUGCAUGGUUGUCGUCAGCUCGUGCCGUGAGGUGUCGGGUUAAGUCCCAUAACGAGCGCAACCCCUAUCGUUAGUUGCCAGCGGGUAAUGCCGGGGACUCUAGCGAAACUGCCGGUGUAAACCGAGAGGAAGGUGGGGAUGACGUCAAAUCAGCACGGGCCCUUAUGUCCAAGGGCUACACACGUGUUACAAUGGCCGGUACAGAGGGGCAGGCUACCUAGUGAUAGGGAUACAAAUCUCGAAAGCCCGGGUNUCAGUUCGGGAUUGGGAGUCUGGCAACUCGACUCC
This 530-nucleotide ribosomal RNA is filed under the name uncultured bacterium. RNAcentral describes it as "bacterial SSU rRNA". It matches the Rfam family "Bacterial small subunit ribosomal RNA", at positions 791 to 1319 of the family's 1533-position model. The record is from RNAcentral.